AGGCUCUGACCAUCUGUGCUUAGGAAUUGCCUCCUCCCUACCUCUGAACUCUCACUCUUUAACGCUGAGCACGUAGACGCACGCAUCCCAGCUCAACGCAUUCAGCACCAUGGCCCCCAAAAAGGUGGAGGCUAAGAAGCCAGAGUCCAAAAAGGCAGAGCUUGCCAAAAAGGAAGCAGCACCCGCUGCCAAGCCCAAGCCCACGCCGACCCCCGAACCUGUGGUUGAGGCCCCCAAGGAGCCCGACUUUGACCCCAAGAGCAUCACCCUCGAGUACAGCGCCGACCAGAUCGAGGAGUUCAAGGAGGCCUUCACCCUGUUCGACCGCACACCCAAAGGGGAGAUGAAGAUCACGUUCGCCCAGUGCGGCGAUGUGAUGCGGGCGCUGGGCCAGAACCCCACCAACUCUGACGUCCUGAAGGUGUUGGGCAAGCCUCGGCCCGAGGACAUGAGCAGCAAGCUGGUGGACUUUGAGACCUUCCUGCCAAUGUUGCAGCACAUUUCCCGUGCCAAGGACAAGGGCAACUUUGAGGACUUUGUUGAGGGCCUGCGGGUCUUUGACAAGGAGGGCAACGGCACCAUCAUGGGCGCUGAGCUGCGUCACGUACUGGCCACCCUGGGGGAGAGGAUGACGGAGGAUGAGGUAGACAGGCUGAUGGCGGGCCAAGAGGACGCCAACGGAUGCAUCAACUACGCCUCCUUCGUAAAGCACAUUCUGUCUGGGUGAGCUGGAUUUUUACCAGAAGGACUUCAAUGAUUCUGUAUUUUUUUCUCCUCUGGACCCCGUACCUGUCUCAUUAAUACCACUGCCACUUUAGUGGUGAGCAUGUCCCUAAAUGUACUGUUAUGUUUGUUGCUACAAGCAGCUGGCAACAAUCAUGCCACAAAAUGUUGAUUAUGAGACCUCAUUUUUCAUUUUCAUUGAAUAAAAAAUGUACAGUGACAAAAAAAA
This is an RNA transcript of Oncorhynchus kisutch (coho salmon), 952 nucleotides long. It is a transcript of the gene named myosin light chain 4 pseudogene, with no coding region annotated. The transcript has a single exon. The record is from RefSeq and is a predicted model, not a curated record. Lineage: Eukaryota; Metazoa; Chordata; Actinopteri; Salmoniformes; Salmonidae.